AAGGGCACCACAAGAACGCGUGGAGCAUGUGGCUUAAUUUGACUCAACGCGGGGAAUCUUACCGGGUCCGGACACACUGAGGAUUGACAGACGGUUAUUGACUUAUACUCGCUUAAUGGCUUUAAGCUGUUAAACGUUUAACACCUUUACACAAAGAUGCUAGUCCUUUCAUGAUCGUUUGAUAGGUGGUGCAUGGCCGUUCUUAGUUCGUGGAGUGAUCUGUCUGCCUAAUUGCGUUUCACUAAGGUCCCAUUCUUCAUACGUAUGAAUAGCGUCUUAACUAUCUUUUACCGCUACCUAUUUGUAGUAAGCGCUCAUACUAUUGGGACCGGAAUGCAACGAGCGCGACUGCACCACCUAAUUGCCCCUUAUCUACCAUUAAUUACUUUAUUAACCGCCCUGUACGGGCACCGGGGCCUUACCUUUACUGAAACUAGCUGGACCGCUGCUUUCCUUUAAGCCAGAGGAAGGUUGCGGCAAUAACAGGUCUGUGAUGCCCUCAGAUGUUCCGGGCCGCACACGUGCUACAAUGAUCAGCACAAAGAGUAUUACCUAUCUUCUUAUACCUAACCCAAUAUGUUAAACUUAUUGCGUAAGGGUAUUGUCUUAACGACUUAUCCGCUUUAGCGCUUUAAGAUUAUUGGACGGUUAUGCCUGCCUCGAGAGAGUGUACAGGGCAGCAAGAGUAAUGAUUCCCUCGUUUUUACUACUAAUACCGCGCUUGGUAACAUAUUACACUCGAUUAAGUAGGGUCUUUGCUUCUAAUAGCAAUUGCUAUCCUCACCCUUAGGGUCUAAGGAUAUUACUAUCUCUAAGGUCUACAGGGAGGUGUAUAUGGCGCACUUACUUUCUCACGGGUGGGGACAGACCAUUGUAACUGUUGGUCUCGGUCUCA
This 895-nucleotide ribosomal RNA is filed under the name Globorotalia truncatulinoides. Its description in RNAcentral is "bacterial SSU rRNA". The stretch from base 19 to 691 matches the Rfam family "Eukaryotic small subunit ribosomal RNA", at positions 1175 to 1612 of the family's 1831-position model. The record is from RNAcentral. Lineage: Eukaryota; Foraminifera; Rotaliida; Globorotaliidae.